Pelobates cultripes (western spadefoot toad) is the source of this 286-nucleotide non-coding RNA. The record is from the annotation of a GenBank genome assembly. Lineage: Eukaryota; Metazoa; Chordata; Amphibia; Anura; Pelobatidae.
AUUUGACUGAGGUCUGUAACGAGCCAGCAGUCAGGUUAGACAAAGGGAUUUAAGAUGAGAGGUGCUAAACAGUUAAAGUGAAUAUUUUAGUUUUAACUUUACAGGGCUUUCAAAAAGAAGAUAAUUCCUUGUAUUUACAAAACGCUAACAAUCAUAUAUAGGCAGGAUUGGAAGAUUAUUGUGCAAAAACAACCUAAGCAAUCCACUCACAGCAGGACAAAGGGAGAUGUGUUAUGCCGGUUCUGUAAAGUUAUUUUACUUUUAUCUACCUCAUGAAGUAUCACAC